UCCUCCAGUCUGGGUUCAGGGUGGUGAACUGAGACCAAUCAAGUCUCUCUCUGGACUCUGGGAAUGUCCUCUUUCUCCUUUUGUUUAACACUGGGUUCUCCAACUCCUGUCCUAGAGAGAGUCUGGGUGUGCAAGGCUUUCGUUCCAGCCCUGCAGUAAACACAACUGAAUCAGCGAAUCUGAAAUACCUUCAUUUGAUUGAUUUAAAUCCGGUGUCUUAGUGAGAGGCUGGAAUAAAACCCUCCACAACCAGUAGCUCCCCAGAACCAGACUAUACCGCUAGGCCGGAAUAAAACCCUCCACGACCAGUAUCUCCCCAGAACCAGACUAUACCGCUAGGCUGGAAUAAAACCCUCUACGACCAGUAUCUCCCCAGAACCAGACAAUACCGCUAGUCUAGAAUAAAACCCUCCACGACCAGUAGCUCCCCAGAACCAGACUAUACCGCUAGGCCGGAAUAAAACCCUCCACGACCAGUAUCUCCCCAGAACCAGACUAUACCGCUAGGCUAGAAUAAAACCCUCCACGACCAGUAUCUCCCCAGAACCAGACUAUACCGCUAGUCUAGAAUAAAACCCUCCACGACCAGUAUCUCCCCAGAACCAGACUAUACCGCUAGUCUAGAAUAAAACCCUCCACGACCAGUACCUCCCCAGAACCAGACUAUACCGCUAGUCUAGAAUAAAAGCCUCCACGACCAGUACCUCCCCAGAACCAGACUAUACCGCUAGUCUAGAAUAAAACCCUCCACGACCAGUACCUCCCCAGAACCAGACUAUACCGCUAGUCGUUUCAGCUUGAUGAUUUAACACUGGUAGUGUAGUAUUAGAAUGGUUUGUAUUGUGGGUUUUAUUCUGGAAUCUUCUGAGCUUCUCCAGACUUUUAGUUUUUUGGGGGGGACCUGUUUUCGAUGGCAAGGUUUUGUCCUGAGAACACAUGAAUAGCUGAGUCAGAUACUGACACAAUGACAGUUAUACGGUACCUGUAUAUCCGCUUUAAGUCUUUAUCUGUCCCAGUGUUUUAUACCCUUGGUUGGUUAUGGGGUCUAUACCUCCAUUAAACACCAGCUCCAAUCUACUAACAGGUGUUUUAUAUCCUUGGUUGGUUAUGGGGUCUAUACUUCCAUUAAACACCAGCUCCAAUCUACUAACAGACAGAUAGUGUUUUAUAUCCUUGGUUGGUUAUGGGGUCUAUACUUCCAUUAAACACCAGCUCCAAUCUACUAACAGGUGUUUUAUACCCUUGGUUGGUUAUGGGGUCUAUACUUCCAUUAAACACCAGCUCCAAUCUACUAACAGGUGUUUUAUACCCUUGGUUGGUUAUGGGGUCUAUACUUCCAUUAAACACCAGCUCCAAUCUACUAACAGGUGUUUUAUAUCCUUGGUUGGUUAUGGGGUCUAUACCUCCAUUAAACACCAGCUCCAAUCUACUAACAGGUGUUUUAUAUCCUUGGUUGGUUAUGGGGUCUAUACUUCCAUUAAACACCAGCUCCAAUCUACUAACAGGUGUUUUACAUCCUUGGUUGGUUUUGGGGUCUAUACUUCCAUUAAACACCAGCUCCAAUCUACUAACAGACAGAUAGUGUUUUACAUCCUUGGUUGGUUAUGGGGUCUAUACUUCUGUCUGAAACACAAGUCUUCUUUCUGCAAGUUUACAAAAUGUCUCAUGUUUUUUUUUCCAGUGUGUCUUGUUUUGAGUCAUGAAAAAUAACAAUCCGGACGUUUCCGUUAAUCAAGAAGGUUUUUCAGAUAUCAUUUGUUGAAUGGAAGUUCCAGUGUCAUUUCACAUUCAAUUGUGACAUUUACAUUAGAUUCUUUAAUAAGACAUAAGACGAUGUAUGGCCCAGCCCUUCAUCCUGUACUGUGUGUUUUAGAUUCUUUAAUAAGACGAUGUAUGGCCCAGCCCUUCAUCCUGUACUGUGUGUUUUAGAUUCUUUAAUAAGACAUAAGACGAUGUAUGGCCCAGCCCUUCAUCCUGUACUGUGUGUUUUAGAGUCUUUAAUAAGACGAUGUAUGGCCCAGCCCUUCAUCCUGUACUGUGUGUUUUAGAUUCUUUAAUAAGACAUAAGACGAUGUAUGGCCCAGCCCUUCAACCUGUACUGUGUGUUUUAGAUUCUUUAAUAAGACAUAAGACGAUGUAUGGCCCAGCCCUUCAUCCUGUACUGCGUGUUUUAGAUUCUUUAAUAAGACAUAAGACGAUGUAUGGCCCAGCCCUUCAUCCUGUACUGUGUGUUUUAGAUUCUUUAAUAAGACGAUGUAUGGCCCAGCCCUUCAUCCUGUACUGUGUGUUUUAGAUUCUUUAAUAAGACGAUGUAUGGCCCAGCCCUUCAUCCUGUA
This is a non-coding RNA of Oncorhynchus mykiss (rainbow trout), 2336 nucleotides long. The record is from RefSeq and is a predicted model, not a curated record. Lineage: Eukaryota; Metazoa; Chordata; Actinopteri; Salmoniformes; Salmonidae.